This 466-nucleotide ribosomal RNA is filed under the name uncultured bacterium. Its description in RNAcentral is "bacterial SSU rRNA". It matches the Rfam family "Bacterial small subunit ribosomal RNA", at positions 926 to 1391 of the family's 1533-position model. The record is from RNAcentral.
CAAGUGGUGGAGCAUGUGGUUUAAUUCGAUGAUACGCGAGGAACCUUACCUAGGCUAGAAUGCGCGUGACCGGCUCAAAGAUGAGCCUUUCCUUCGGGACACAAAGCAAGGUGCUGCAUGGCCGUCGUCAGCUCGUGCCGUGAGGUGUUGGGUUAAGUCCCGCAACGAGCGCAACCCCUAUGUUUAGUUGCCAGCAUGUAAUGAUGGGGACUCUAGACAGACUGCCUGCGCAAGCAGUGAGGAAGGCGGGGACGACGUCAGGUCAUCAUGGCCCUUACGCCUAGGGCGACACACGUGCUACAAUGGACGGUACAGCGGGUAGCUACGCAGCGAUGUGAUGCCAAUCUCGAAAAGCCGUUCUCAGUUCGGAUCGGAGUCUGCAACUCGACUCCGUGAAGCUGGAAUCACUAGUAAUCGCGCAUCACCCAUGGCGCGGUGAAUACGUUCCCGGGCUUUUGUACACACC